Molecule: ribosomal RNA, 253 nt
Filed under: uncultured bacterium
Lineage: Bacteria
Description: partial 16S ribosomal RNA
Rfam family: Bacterial small subunit ribosomal RNA
Source: RNAcentral
UACGGAGGGUGCAAGCGUUAUCCGGAUUCACUGGGUUUAAAGGGUGCGUAGGCGGACAGGUAAGUCAGUGGUGAAAUCUCUGGGCUUAACCCAGAAACUGCCGUUGAUACUAUUUGUCUUGAAUAUCCUGGAGGUAGGCGGAAUAUGUCAUGUAGCGGUGAAAUGCUUAGAUAUGACAUAGAGCACCGAUAGCGAAGGCAGCUUACUACAGGAUGAUUGACGCUGAGGCACGAAAGCGUGGGGAGCAAACAGG